This 22-nucleotide non-coding RNA is filed under the name Arabidopsis thaliana (thale cress). The record is from RNAcentral. Lineage: Eukaryota; Viridiplantae; Streptophyta; Magnoliopsida; Brassicales; Brassicaceae.
GAUGUGCAUGUCGAGUAAGUGA